UGGGAAUCUGCCCUUAGGUACCGAAUAACUCAAAGAAAUUUGUGCUAAUACCGUAAGAUGUCCAAAGACCAAAGAUUUAUCGCCUAAGGAUGAGCCCACGUAUUAUUAGCUUGUUGGUGAGGUAAAAGCUCACCAAGGCGACGAUCUUUAACUGGUCUGAGAGGAUGAUCAGCCACACUGGGACUGAGACACGGCCCCCACUCCUACGGGAGGCAGCACUGGGGAAUAUUGGACAAUGGGCGAAAGCCUGAUCCAGCAAUGCCGCGUGACUGAUGAACGCCUUACGGGUCUAAAGCUCUUUUACUGCGGAUGAUAAUGACACUACCUGGAAAAUAAGCUCCGGCUAACUCCGUGCCAUCAGCCGCGGUAAUACGGAGGGAGCUAGAGUUGCUCGCAAUUACCGGGCGUAAAGAGUACGUCACGGUGAUUCAACUCAUAGGUGAAACCCUGGAGCUCACCUCCCGAACUGCCUUUGAAACUACAUCGCUAGAAUUGUGUAGAGGUUACUGGAAUUCGGAGUGUAUAGAUGAAAUUCCUAGAUAUUCUGAAGAACACCAAUGGCUAAAGUGACUAACUGGACACAUAUUGACGCUGANGUACGGAAUCGUGGGGAGCANAUUGGAUUCAUACCCUGGUCUCCGCCCCAAAACGAUGAUAACUAACUGUUUGGGGUCUACAAUCCUGAAUGGUGCAGCUAACGCUUUAAUCUUAUCCACUGGGGAGUACGCUCCCAAGAUUAAA
This 741-nucleotide ribosomal RNA is filed under the name uncultured bacterium. RNAcentral's name for it is "bacterial SSU rRNA". It matches the Rfam family "Bacterial small subunit ribosomal RNA", at positions 118 to 898 of the family's 1533-position model. The record is from RNAcentral.